This 213-nucleotide ribosomal RNA is filed under the name uncultured Desulfobulbus sp. RNAcentral's name for it is "partial 16S ribosomal RNA". It matches the Rfam family "Bacterial small subunit ribosomal RNA", at positions 1172 to 1382 of the family's 1533-position model. The record is from RNAcentral. Lineage: Bacteria; Pseudomonadati; Thermodesulfobacteriota; Desulfobulbia; Desulfobulbales; Desulfobulbaceae.
GGUGGGGAUGACGUCAAGUCCUCAUGGCCUUUAUGACCAGGGCUACACACGUACUACAAUGGCCGAUACAAAGGGCAGCGACACUGCGAGGUGAAGCCAAUCCCGUAAAAUCGGUCUCAGUCCGGAUUGGAGUCUGCAACUCGACUCCAGGUGAAGUUGGAAUCGCUAGUAAUCGUGGAUCAGCAUGCCACGGUGAAUACGUUCCCGGGCCUU